This 443-nucleotide ribosomal RNA is filed under the name uncultured bacterium. RNAcentral describes it as "partial 16S ribosomal RNA". It matches the Rfam family "Bacterial small subunit ribosomal RNA", at positions 338 to 795 of the family's 1533-position model. The record is from RNAcentral.
CCUACGGGAGGCAGCAGUGGGGAAUAUUGGGCAAUGGGCGCAAGCCUGACCCAGCAAAGCCGCGUGAAGGAAGACGGCUUUCGGGUUGCAAACUUCUUUUCUUAGGGACGAAGAACGUGACGGUCCCUCAGGACUAAGCCACGGCUAACUACGUGCCAGCAGCCGCGGUAAUAUGUAGGUGGCAAGCGUUAUCCGGAUUUAUUGGGUUUAAAGGGCGUGUAGGCGGGAAAGCAAGUCCAAUGUGAAAACUCAGGGCUCAACCCUGAGCCUGGAUUUGAAACUGUUUUUCUUGAGUGCGGGAGAGGUAAUCGGAAUGCCGUGUGUAGCGGUGAAAUGCGUAGAUAUACGGAGGAACACCAGUGGCGAAGGCGGCUUGCUGGACAGUAACUGACGCUGAGGCGCGAAAGCGUGGGGAUCAAACAGGAUUAGAUACCCGAGUAGUC